AAAAAUUAUAAAUCAAACAUAUGAACAAUAAGCAAACAAGUCAGAUUCUUACCUCAGUCAGUUUUGACACACCAUCAAACCAUAGUACACGUUUUGUUGCUAAAUCCUUGAGAUCUUUGGGAGCCUUUUUGGUGUGAAACAAGAUUAUCUCAAAUGCGAGACUCGUGAUAUGUGAGACGUCGGUGUGAAGACGAGAAUCUGAGGAAAUUAGGAGCAUUGGGCUUGGAUUACGCUCCAAUGCCCUUGAAUGCAUAGCCUUCCCCAAUUCAAUAUCGGGAAAACCUUUGCGGUUUGCAUUGGAUCUCUUCUUGGUCUUCGUAGGCGGUUGUGAGAUAUGAACCUCAACACCGAAUCUUCGAAGCAUAUCGAUGACUCCUCCAUUAAGUGCAUUGGAUUGGACGAAGAGAUCGAAAUCCAAGAUACCCCAAGACAAGUAAGAUCCCAAAAACCUAAUAAAUUAGAGAAAGUACCAGAUUUAUAAACUGGAGAAACUUUAGAACUAAAAUAGAAAUAUUGACAAAAAUUAAGGAUUGAUUAAUUAUCGGGACUAGGAGAUCGGCACGCCUAGGAAUAGGUUGAGAAACUCUUCGACGAGGAGGACUCGGCGGUGGCUGCAGCAUAGAGAUCCUACGUGCGCGUUUGGAUCAAGAAGUAAACAUGUCCCAAGAUUCUCCCAUGACAAAAAGGUUGUGAGACUGCGGAUUUCUUCAGGGAUAGAAUUGUUUCCAACAACCCAGAUCACAAACCCAUAUUGUUCUCGAGAUAGGUUUUGGACCAUUUUAAAGAAGUCCGAGGUUAGGAGCAGAAUGGCAGCAGGAGGGUCAUUCUGAGAGUCUUUGCAUCAUAGUCAAGUCUGAGAAUUCACGAUCAAAUCUUAGAUUAGAGCUCUGUUCACUGAAAUAAGUAUUUAAACAAACUAAGCAGAGACGUUUUUCAAUUCAUAAUUGUGACAAUAAUCAGUUAUCUGCUAAUCGUUAAAACAAAACAAAGGAACCAAGCUCUAUGAUUUUAUUCUUAGAAAGACUUUUACAAGACUCAACUAGAUGACCUAUUCAAGUGGAUCUUAUAACAAAAGAGACUCUUAAUCAAACGUGCAUUGACUACUACAACUUAGGAUGACUUAUUCAGACCAAGCAUAAGCUAAACGACUUAGUUAUAUUCUUCAUAAUAUGCUUUCUUAGUGAUCAACUGAAAUACAACUAUGAUAAUUAUAACGUGGUCUUACCUGGAUAUUUCUUUGGGUAUUCUUGUGAUUCAGUUAUGUUCACGUCUGAUCGAUGAAGACGUUUAAUAAGGGGUUUGUUUUCUGUGAAGAACUUUUUCCGGGCAUAAGCAUACGGACCGGAUGUAGAACCCACAUUGAGCCAUAGUUUGUUUCACAUUGUCAAGAACCGUUUUCAACCUCAAUUCCUUAUGGAUGUGAACAUUUUCUACAUCCCACAAUUCCUUAAGAAAAAGAGUCAAAUUUGAUAUACUGAUCCGAAAACAAUUAACAAAAUUU
This 1501-nucleotide small RNA is filed under the name Arabidopsis thaliana (thale cress). RNAcentral's name for it is "ATSL174890". The record is from RNAcentral. Lineage: Eukaryota; Viridiplantae; Streptophyta; Magnoliopsida; Brassicales; Brassicaceae.